RNAcentral lists this ribosomal RNA (709 nucleotides) under Streptomyces africanus. Its description in RNAcentral is "partial 16S ribosomal RNA". It matches the Rfam family "Bacterial small subunit ribosomal RNA", at positions 8 to 734 of the family's 1533-position model. Lineage: Bacteria; Bacillati; Actinomycetota; Actinomycetes; Kitasatosporales; Streptomycetaceae. The record is from RNAcentral.
AGAGNUUGAUCNUGGAUCAGGACGAACGCUGGCGGCGUGCUUANCNCAUGCAAGUUGAACGAUGAACCACUUCGGUGCGGAUUAGUGGCGAACGGGUGAGUAACACGUGGGCAAUNUGCCCUGCACUNUGGGACAAGCCCUGGAAACGGGGUCUAAUACCGGAUACAACCACUAGGGGCAUCUGUUGGUGGUGGAAAGCUCCGGCGGUGCAGGAUGAGCCCGCGGCGUAUCAGCUUGUCGGUGAGGUAAUGGCUCACCAAGGCGACGACGGGUAGCCGGCCUGAGAGGGCGACCGGCCACACUGGGUCUGAGACACGGCCCAGACUCNUACUGGAGGCAGCAGUGGGGAAUAUUGCACAAUGGGCGAAAGCCUGAUGCAGNGACGCCGCGUNAGGGAUGNCGGCCUUCGGNUUGUAAACCUNUUUCAGCAGGGAAGAAGCGAAAGUGACGGUACCUGCAGAAGAAGCGCCGGCUAACUACGUGCCAGCAGCCGCGGUAAUACGUAGGGCGCGAGCGUUGUCCGGAAUUAUUGGGCGUAAAGAGNUCGUAGGCGGCUUGUCACGUCGGUUGUGAAAGCCCGGGGCUUAACCCCGGGUNUGCAGUCGANACGGGCAGGNUAGAGUUCGGUAGGGGAGAUCGGAAUUCCUGGUGUAGCGGUGAAAUGCGCAGAUAUCAGGAGGAACACCGGUGGCGAAGGCGGAUUNUGGCC